UACGUAGGGUGCGAGCGUUAAUCGGAAUUACUGGGCGUAAAGGGUGCGCAGGCGGCUGAUCAAGUCGAGUGUGAAAGCCCCGAGCUUAACUUGGGAAUUGCGCUCGAAACUACUUUGCUGGAGUGUGGCAGAGGAAGGUGGAAUUCCACGUGUAGCGGUGAAAUGCGUAGAGAUGUGGAGGAACACCAAUGGCGAAGGCAGCCUUCUGGGCCAACACUGACGCUCAUGCACGAAAGCGUGGGGAGCAAACAGG
This 253-nucleotide ribosomal RNA is filed under the name uncultured bacterium. RNAcentral's name for it is "partial 16S ribosomal RNA". It matches the Rfam family "Bacterial small subunit ribosomal RNA", at positions 524 to 776 of the family's 1533-position model. The record is from RNAcentral.